GACGAACGCUGGCGGCGUGCUUAACACAUGCAAGUCGAACGGAAAGGCCUGCUUUCCCUUGUGGAUUGCGGGUACUCGAGUGGCGAACGGGUGAGUAACACGUGAGUGAUCUGCCCCCAACUUGGGUAUAAGCCUGGGAAACUGGGUCUAAUUCCCGAUAGGACUGCAGGGUGGUGCCUGUGGUGGAAAACGAUUUUCUAGUGGUUGGGGAUGAGCUCGCGGCCUAUCAGCUUGUUGGUGGGGUAAUGGCCUACCAAGGCGGCGACGGGUAGCCGGCCUGAGAGGGUGGACGGGCACAUUGGGACUGAGAUACGGCCCAGACUCCUACGGGAGGCAGCAGUGGGGAAGAGUGCACAAUGGGCGGAAGCCUGAUGCAGCGACGCCGCGUGGGGGAUGACGGCAUUCGGGUUGUAAACUCAUUUCGACCGCGAGGAAGCCACCUGGUUGGAAGGGUGGUGACGGUAGUGGUAGAAGAAGCACCGGCUAACUACGUG
Molecule: ribosomal RNA, 494 nt
Filed under: uncultured bacterium
Lineage: Bacteria
Description: partial 16S ribosomal RNA
Rfam family: Bacterial small subunit ribosomal RNA
Source: RNAcentral